Molecule: non-coding RNA, 58 nt
Organism: Salmo salar (Atlantic salmon)
Lineage: Eukaryota; Metazoa; Chordata; Actinopteri; Salmoniformes; Salmonidae
Source: Rfam
UGGCUCAGUUAGUAGAGCAUGGUGCUUGCAGCACCAUGGUUGUGGGUUCAAUUCCCAC